AGUCAGUGACCACGGAGAAAGGGGAAGGGACACUUUAUGGUUUUAAACUAGUCUCUCUGUAAUGGCAGCUCAACAGCAUGCAGGUGGUCCAGAUGAUCAUACAGUUCAAUACUGUGAUUUUAAAUACAGGCUCAUGGGGAACUGGAGUCUAUCCUAGCUGACUACACAUUGGAGUGGUUGCCAUUCAGUCACAGGUCAAUUCUCAAGACCUCUGGACGCAGGUGAACACCAUCACCCCGUAGGAACUGAAUACUGUAUGCGGACCUGUGUGUGUAGUUACCUGUCCAUCGACUUGGGCAUGGUGAGGUGAACCCGGUUCUUCAUUGAUGAUCUUUUCUCCCAAUAAAAAGCCCAGCCUGGUCAUCAAUGC
Long non-coding RNA from Syngnathoides biaculeatus (alligator pipefish), 370 nucleotides. RefSeq lists it as uncharacterized. NCBI's taxonomy places the organism in Eukaryota, Metazoa, Chordata, Actinopteri, Syngnathiformes, Syngnathidae. The transcript has 3 exons. The record is from RefSeq and is a predicted model, not a curated record.